CCCUGUGGCUCAGUUGGUAGAGCAUGGUGUUUGCAAUGCCAGCAUGGUGUGUGCAACGCCAGGGUUGUGGGUUCGAUUCCCAUGAGGG
RNAcentral lists this transfer RNA (88 nucleotides) under Salmo salar (Atlantic salmon). It matches the Rfam family "tRNA". Rfam says of the family: Transfer RNA (tRNA) molecules are approximately 80 nucleotides in length. Their secondary structure includes four short double-helical elements and three loops (D, anti-codon, and T loops). Lineage: Eukaryota; Metazoa; Chordata; Actinopteri; Salmoniformes; Salmonidae. The record is from Rfam by way of RNAcentral.